This 528-nucleotide ribosomal RNA is filed under the name uncultured bacterium. RNAcentral's name for it is "bacterial SSU rRNA". It matches the Rfam family "Bacterial small subunit ribosomal RNA", at positions 777 to 1304 of the family's 1533-position model. The record is from RNAcentral.
AAUAGAUACCCUGGUAGUCCACGCCGUAAACGAUGUCGACUUGGAGGUUGUUCCCUUGAGGAGUGGCUUCCGGAGCUAACGCGUUAAGUCGACCGCCUGGGGAGUACGGCCGCAAGGUUAAAACUCAAAUGAAUUGACGGGGGGCCCGCACAAGCGGUGGAGCAUGUGGUUUAAUUCGAUGCAACGCGAAGAACCUUACCUACUCUUGACAUCCACGGAACUUUUCAGAGAUGAAUUGGUGCCUUCGGGAACCGUGAGACAGGUGCUGCAUGGCUGUCGUCAGCUCGUGUUGUGAAAUGUUGGGUUAAGUCCCGCAACGAGCGCAACCCUUAUCCUUUGUUGCCAGCGGUUAGGCCGGGAACUCAAAGGAGACUGCCAGUGAUAAACUGGAGGAAGGUGGGGAUGACGUCAAGUCAUCAUGGCCCUUACGAGUAGGGCUACACACGUGCUACAAUGGCGCAUACAAAGAGAAGCGACCUCGCGAGAGCAAGCGGACCUCAUAAAGUGCGUCGUAGUCCGGAUUGGAGU